ACCAGACGCUGUCAGUCAUCAGUUUCCGCAUGAUUAUUUUACCGUGCACGCAUAACUGACAGCAUCGAUGUUUUGUUUUUGUUUUUCUUCUCUGGUCAUAAGUUCUGUUCAAAUUAUAAAGUGAGAUCGCUGUCCAGAACCACCAAUAAUUAGAGCCGUUUGAAUCGCCACAUCCGCGCGAUCUAUCGUUGCACACAUUUCCACCAAUAAUUGGAGCCGUUUGAAUCGCCACAUCCGCGCGAUCUUCGUUGCACACAUUGUUUGCUGAAAAAAUGUUGUCGAGCGUUUGACUUGUCGGAUAUGAACAAACACUUGGACGAUAUUUGGAAUGCUUUGAUUUUGAAGCUGAAGCCAGGAGGUGGCAACAAGGAGGAUAUUCGAACUGGCACUGGAAGUGGGCGACAACUUUUUAACCACCAUUUGUAGGACUAUAAUGGGUAGUGUUGCGGACGUGGCUUUUAAAAUGUUUGAAAACGGUAUCAAGGUUGCACUGGCCUUUGAGAGAGGAUCGUACGAGUUAGCACAUUUUGUGGCUAAAAAGCUUCUGCCUAUUACAUUAUCCAGAUUGAAGGGGAACGCAAUCACGGAACAGGAAAAAUAUCUCGUGCUAAACCGAACGUUGUUCAUUAGCAAGGAAUCUUGAAAAAAAAAUGGAUCAGGGGCUGUGUAAGAGCAGUUUGUCCAAAUUUCAAUUUCAUCUGGAAAUAAAAUCCCGUUUGCCGACAACAAUCCUAUAAUUAUUUAAAAAAACAUCCUAGAUUUGAAGUCUGCCCUGGAGCAUUCAUUGGAAACUCCAGAAAACGAUUUGGUGAUACCCGGGAGACGGCGGAAUUUUUAGAUGGAAGAGAUGAAGUGGAAUCCAAUUAGUGCAUUCAGAGUAAUGGUCUGACAGGACGAGAAUGUUCUAAAAGAAAGACAGAAUCAGAAUGUUCUCUCGAUACCUAUGUGUUUGAGAUCUUUGGGGUGGAACAAAGAUUAUUCUGUGGAUUCUUCUGGUACCUGCAGCCAAUGCCUGCGAAGCGUGAUUGAAGAAACCCAAAAUGUCAUACAGCAUCAAGGACAAUUAUCAUGACUGGUGACCGGAAUCGAACUGGAAUCCUUUUCCUGUGAUAUGGAUACAUGCAAACCUGGUUGGUCUUGCCAACACACCGAUGCAGCUAUGCCUGGCUAUUGUAGAGCUCCAUACCCGUCGGUUUAGGGCUUUAAGGCCCCCAGAUCCGCAUGCAGCCAUCUUAUUUGUGGCCUUCCAUGAAGGCACAGGCCACUGUCCGGUUCCCGACGUAUCGACGUAUAAUAUUAUGCGUAUGCAAUAACAACCAGCAGGUUUUUGCAUCUCCUUUCUGUAAGAUAUGAAUAUUCAGCUAUUCCUCAGUUCCGCAGUGCCAAGGAAACAGUCGUCAUCCGAUGGCACGAUGGUUUCGUUUCGGUGGGAUCAUCUCUUCGCAGCGCCGAUGACUUCGCGGUUCAACGGUGGCAGCAGCCACCAUCGGAUGGCUGGUGGCAUCAACGGAAGAGCAUUGCACUCCGGCCCAAAGGAGACGUCAAUAAGGCAAAUUAGUCGCCUGCUGGAAGAAAAUUUCAAAUGAUUUCUUUUAGUUCCAUUGAUUGUUUCAACUUACAAUUGACAUUAAAAUAAAGAAUAAAUAAAUAUAAAUAAAUGAAAAAUAA
Long non-coding RNA from Armigeres subalbatus, 1668 nucleotides. RefSeq lists it as uncharacterized. The transcript is spliced from 4 exons. NCBI's taxonomy places the organism in Eukaryota, Metazoa, Arthropoda, Insecta, Diptera, Culicidae. The record is from RefSeq and is a predicted model, not a curated record.